GUCCGAAUGGUAUGGUGGUUAGUGACUCUGACUGCCAUGCCGGAGGUCCCGGGUUCAAUUCCCGGCCGGGGCA
RNAcentral lists this transfer RNA (73 nucleotides) under Plutella xylostella (diamondback moth). RNAcentral describes it as "tRNA-Gly". The record is from RNAcentral. Lineage: Eukaryota; Metazoa; Arthropoda; Insecta; Lepidoptera; Plutellidae.